CAACAGAAUCACAUCCCGGACUUAGAUAUCGAUUUCUAUCUGGCAGAUGCAGUACUCAUCGGAUCUCCUUAAUGGUGCCUUUACAGUAGAUUUCAAGUUUGAUUUAAUCAAAUCUGAUUCUAUGAGUUCAUCAGAUUGUAUCGGUUCUUCUACCUGUCGAACUUUAUAAGUUUUGCAUUAAAGGCAUCAGUAUCUUAACCAA
This 202-nucleotide long non-coding RNA is filed under the name Elaeis guineensis (African oil palm). RNAcentral describes it as "long non-coding RNA (EGUI_LNC027022)". Lineage: Eukaryota; Viridiplantae; Streptophyta; Magnoliopsida; Arecales; Arecaceae. The record is from RNAcentral.